RNAcentral lists this long non-coding RNA (1085 nucleotides) under Sus scrofa (pig). Its description in RNAcentral is "lncRNA (ENSSSCG00040018229.1)". Lineage: Eukaryota; Metazoa; Chordata; Mammalia; Artiodactyla; Suidae. The record is from RNAcentral.
GGGAGAGGCAGCCUCUACCUGAUCUGAUCAGGGAAGGCUUCCUGGAGGAGGAGAAUAUAAUUCUUACCCGCUAACGUCCACAGGGAACUCACGGAGCAGAGUGGGGUUGUUCCCUUAACAUCCAGCGGUUCCCAGAUGUGGCAAAAAUUAAUAUUGUAUACGUAAGGUUUUGGAGGUGGCCUCAGAAGUGUAAACGCCUCGCAGAGGAAUGAUGCGGAACAGGGCUGGAACAGGCCAAAUCAACAUGGAACCACAGAUUACAAACACCGGUUCUGCGAAGCAGCCAGAAUCAGAGAUGCGCAGGAUGAGCGGGAGCUGUUUAGGACUCCUCUGCCGUUUUCCAUCCAACCAUCUCUGAGCCCUCCCCUGAUUUCUCUUCCCAAGGGCUGGCGCAUCCAUCUUCCCCCUACUAUGGCAGCUGGCAAGCAAGAGUCGUCCUUCCCAGACAGAGCAGCUGAGGCCCAGAGAGGUUCAUCGCAGUGGCCAAGGUCACACAGGAGCAGAGAAGUAAUGGGCUUUGAACCUAACGUCUCAGCCCACCGCUCCAAGUACCUAUUCCUCCGUUAAUGCCCUCCCUCUUGUGAGUCUAUAAUUCAAAACAGUCACUUGGAAGCAACGCCAAGAGGGGGUUGUGAGGAAAAGCAGGAGGAAGAAUCUGAUAAUUCUACCAAAUCAUUGUCCUCAAUAUAUUCUCUGCCUAUUAAAUCAGUUACUCCAAAGGUCCAGCAUCUUUUGUUACUAAUGUCUGGCCAUGCUGAAAUGUUUUAAAUGUUCAUCUAAUGCUCACAUAAAUUUUGAGCUUGAAAUCUCCAAUCUUUGGAAAUCUUUUCUAAUCCUAGGUAAAGGAAUGGCUAAAAUAACCUCAUUCCUGGAUACAUUUCACCUGUCAAUCUAGAUAUCUGAAGAGAGCUAUUUAAAAAAAAAAAAAAAAAAAAAACAGGGUUUGCUUCCAGCCUUAGCAUUGCAACACUAUUUGCCAAGGUGAUUACAUCCAAGGAAAUACCAUUAAGUUUUCCUUUCCAGGCCAAUAGACAUCCAGGGUUUAAAACCCUGACUUCAUCAAUGAGAGUCUCAGAGUCUAAACC